RNAcentral lists this ribosomal RNA (279 nucleotides) under Metalibitia borellii. RNAcentral describes it as "partial large subunit ribosomal RNA". Lineage: Eukaryota; Metazoa; Arthropoda; Arachnida; Opiliones; Cosmetidae. The record is from RNAcentral.
AUUUAAUUCAACAUCGAGGUCGCAAACUCAAGUAUUUAUAAGAACUAGCUACCUAAAUAACGCUGUUAUCCCUAGAGUAACUUUACACUCCAAACAAAAAUAUUAAAAAUUAAAAUCUUCAUAAAUUACCCCAAUCAAAAAUUUUACAAUCUUAAGCUUCUAGGGUCUUCUCGUCCCAAGGUUUAAUAAGAGCUUUUUUACUCUUAAAUUAAUUUCAAACUUAUUUAACAAAACUCUCUCUUUAGUAUCAACCUUUCAUUCCAGUCCCCAAUUAAAGAA